ACUAGCUGACGGGUCCAAAAUAGGACGAAACGCUCAUCCUGGAU
Molecule: non-coding RNA, 44 nt
Filed under: Trichobilharzia regenti
Lineage: Eukaryota; Metazoa; Platyhelminthes; Trematoda; Strigeidida; Schistosomatidae
Source: RNAcentral